RNAcentral lists this long non-coding RNA (1240 nucleotides) under Homo sapiens (human). RNAcentral's name for it is "non-protein coding lnc-DHRS7-4:1". The record is from RNAcentral. Lineage: Eukaryota; Metazoa; Chordata; Mammalia; Primates; Hominidae.
UUUUUUUUUUUUUUUAUAUUUUGAGAAACCUCCAUACUGUUUUGGCAUAGAUAGUGGCUGCACAAUUUUGCAUUCCCACCCAGCAUACAAGGGUUCCAAUUCCUCCAUAUCCUCACCAACACUCUUUUGUUUUUUUGAUAGUAGUCAUCAUAACAGGUGAGGUGAUAUUAAGGAGUACUUCUGCACUGAGGCACUUGUCUCAACUAUAUUUUUGUUGUACUUUCAGGAGACUAAUAGAUCUGUGGAAAUUUAUCAAAUCUUUGCUCAUUUUUUUAACUUCUGAGAGCUCUUCUUUAAUCUGAGUGUUCCUUUUUAUGAAAUUGUUGAUGAAAAAAGCCGAACAAGUGUAAAAUAUUUUAAGAGAUUUAUUCUGAGCCAAAUAUGAGUGACCACAGCCCAUGACACAGCCCUCAGGAGGUCCUCAGAACAUGUGCCCAAGGUGGCUAAGGUACAGCUUAGUUUUAUAUAUUUUAGGGAGGCAUAAGACAUCAAAUACAUUUAAGAAACACAUUGGUCUGGUUUAGAAAGGUGGGACAACUCAAAGAAGGGGCUUCCAGACUAUAGGUAAAUUUAAACAUUUUCUGGUUGACAAUAGGAUGAGUUUAUCUGAAGACCUGGGAUCAACAGAAAAGAAAUGUUCAGGUUAAGAUAAAGGAUUGUGGAGACCAAGUUUCACUGUGCAGAGGAAGCUCUCAGAGAGCAGACUUCAGAGAGCAGGUGGUAAAAUAUUUCUUAUCAGACUUAAAAGGGUACCUGACUGUUAGUUGAUUAUCUCUUGGAUCUGGAAAGGAAGGAAGGAAAACAAAGGGGAAAGGGGACUCAUUAUAGAAUGUGGAUUUUUCCCACAAGAGACUUUGCAGGGCAAUUUCAAGGUAUGGCAAGGAAAUAUAUUUUUGGGUAAAACAUUUUUAUUUUCUUCCUUGUUAUGCCAGAGUCAGAUUGGAAAGUCAAGAUAUACAGGGUUAAAUAAAACCCACCUGAUGAGAAUUUAUGAUUUGUAGGGCAUGACUCUCUAGGCCCCUUAGACAGGAAUUUGGGCAAGAUUUAACAAAUCAGAGCUGAGUCCUCAAAAUCCUAUUAUUGUUUCAUGAAUAUGGUUUAAGAAUAUUAAUUACGGAGGGCACGGUGGCUCAUGCCUGUAAUCCCAGCACUUUGAGAGGCUGAGGAGAAUCACUUGAACCUGGGAGACAGAGGUUGUAGUGAGCCAAGAUGGCGCGAUUACACUCCAGCCUAGGUGACA